UACGGGGGGAGCAAGCGUUGUUCGGAUUUACUGGGCGUAAAGGGCGCGUAGGCGGUCGUGACAAGUCACUUGUGAAAUCUCCGGGCUUAACUCGGAACGGUCAAGUGAUACUGUCGGACUAGAGUACAGAAGGGGCAACUGGAAUUCUCGGUGUAGCGGUGAAAUGCGUAGAUAUCGAGAGGAACACCUGCGGCGAAGGCGGGUCGCUGGGCUGAUACUGACGCUGAGGCGCGAAAGCCA
RNAcentral lists this ribosomal RNA (240 nucleotides) under uncultured bacterium. Its description in RNAcentral is "partial 16S ribosomal RNA". It matches the Rfam family "Bacterial small subunit ribosomal RNA", at positions 524 to 762 of the family's 1533-position model. The record is from RNAcentral.